UACUUAGUGGCAGACGGGUGAGUAACAUGUGGGUAUCUACCCUUUGGCCUGGAAUAACACGAGGAAACUUGUGCUAAUACCGGAUAAGUCUUUACGGAGAAAGCUUUAUGCACCAAUGGAUGAGCCCGCACUUGAUUAGUUUGUUGGUAGGGUAAUGGCCUACCAAGACUAUGAUCAAUAGCUGAUUUGAGAGGAUGAUCAGCCACAUUGGGACUGAGACACGGCCCAAACUCCUACGGGAGGCAGCAGUGGGGAAUCUUGCACAAUGGAGGAAACUCUGAUGCAGCGAUGCCGCGUGAGUGAAGAAGGCCCUUGGGUUGUAAAGCUCUUUCGUCGGGGAAGAAAAUGACUGUACCCGAAUAAGAAGGUCCGGCUAACUUCGUGCCAGCAGCCGCGGUAAUACGAAGGGACCUAGCGUAGUUCGGAAUUACUGGGCUUAAAGAGUUCGUAGGUGGUUGAAAAAGUUGGUGGUGAAAUCCCAGAGCUUAACUCUGGAACUGCCAUCAAAACUUUUCAGCUAGAGUAUGAUAGAGGAAAGC
This 539-nucleotide ribosomal RNA is filed under the name uncultured Pelagibacterales bacterium. Its description in RNAcentral is "bacterial SSU rRNA". It matches the Rfam family "Bacterial small subunit ribosomal RNA", at positions 89 to 662 of the family's 1533-position model. The record is from RNAcentral. Lineage: Bacteria; Pseudomonadati; Pseudomonadota; Alphaproteobacteria; Candidatus Pelagibacterales.